This 489-nucleotide ribosomal RNA is filed under the name uncultured bacterium. RNAcentral describes it as "bacterial SSU rRNA". It matches the Rfam family "Bacterial small subunit ribosomal RNA", at positions 43 to 524 of the family's 1533-position model. The record is from RNAcentral.
CAGGCCUAACACAUGCAAGUCGAGGGGCAGCAUUUCACUAGCAAUAGUGUUGAUGGCGACCGGCGCACGGGUGAGUAACACGUAUCCAAUCUGCCUAUUACUCGGGGAUAGCCUUUUGAAAGAAAGAUUAAUACCCGAUAGUAUAUGUUAAUCGCAUGAUUGAUAUAUUAAAGAAUUUCGGUAAUAGAUGAGGAUGCGUUCCAUUAGAUUGUUGGUGAGGUAACGGCUCACCAAGUCUUCGAUGGAUAGGGGUUCUGAGAGGAAGGUCCCCCACACUGGUACUGAGACACGGACCAGACUCCUACGGGAGGCAGCAGUGAGGAAUAUUGGUCAAUGGGCGGAAGCCUGAACCAGCCAAGUAGCGUGAAGGAUGACUGCCCUAUGGGUUGUAAACUUCUUUUAUAAGGGAAUAAACGCAUUUACGUGUAGAUGUCUGUAUGUACCUUAUGAAUAAGCAUCGGCUAACUCCGUGCCAGCAGCCGCGGUAAU